UUGGUUUGGUUUCUUUUUUCUUGAAAUAACACAGACGAAAGGAUACGUUGCACAAAGGACGCUCAUUUCUUUGGGAUGAGCUUUGGCUGUGCUUAUAAAUAAUGGUGCCUGUGUUAAAAAUUAGGAGAUAUGAUAUUGAGAUUGUGUAAUGAGCCCAAAACAACAGUGCAGAAGCAGUACCUACUACAGGAGAAGCUUUUUUCUUUUUUUUUUUCAUUUUUUUUUUCCCCAAGGAAGCCAGCUGCAGAAGAUGCUGGUUGGAUCUCCUGUGGUAAAAUCUUAGACUGGGAAUUAAAUUCAUCGGGAAAGCCGCAUCCAGCAUUUAUUGGGCUUGAAAUGAGCUAUGUAGGAACAGAAAAUGUACGUCCUAGAAGAGUCAAGCACUCCUGUCUGUGGGAGAAGGAUGCUUACGGAAAAUGCUGCUGACUAUAAAAAUAAUUAUUUCAGUUUAUCUUUUUAUUAUGCUGUAGUAAACCAGGUGCUGGCAGGAGAUUGGCUGGAAGGGAUGAUGUAACACAAGUGACAUCAGAGGUUGUUUUAAGAGGUUUAAAGGGCGAGGUGAUACUUGGAUGGCUGGAUAACAAGAAUAAAAAAAUUGAUCUCUCAUGAUGACAAAGCAUAAGCUUUUAAAAAUACUUUUCUUUGAAGAAGUUCAUAAGAUUAAAUGUAAAUAUUUUAUUUUAAAAUAGCUCUAAACAGUGGCAAUUGUUGCUUCCCAGAAAUGAAUUAUAUAUGAUUUUAUUACAUGUGGUUGAGGUAGUGUGCACAAGAUCAAGUUGUGAGUUUUAACUCAUGUCCUUCUCAGUGAAAAUAAGAGCUUUAAAUUCCAUAGGGUAUGAUGAGGUUGGAAUUUGUGGUUUGGGGAGUUUUUGGUGUAUCAGGGAUAGUGUUAGCUUGCAAUACUUUUAAAUAAUUGUCUUUUUGUUGAGGACAUGGUGUGUGUUUACACACAACAGUUCUGUAUCUGAAGCUGAUACAGCUCUGUAAAUGUAGCAGGAGAUGAGCUUGGUGGUGGGAAAUGAGGAGAGGGAGCACAGUAAUGAUGUAAGUUGCAAAAACAGAUUAACUGAGUUCUAGCAGAAACUGAUCUGCAGUAGGUAGUGCUUUUGGAAAAGACAGGCCAGAUACCAGUAUUAUGAGUGCAGAAAUGCCAUCGGACCUGUCCCAUCUCAAAAACAAGAACUGAUAGGCUUUGCAGUUCUACACUAAAUGUGAAGCUUCCUUGGAAAGCGGCUACUGCCCCGUGCUGAGUUUCAGUAUGCUUGGGUGGUGUGAAUUACUGCUGUGGCGAUCCAGAUUCUCCUACCUAGUGUCUUAAAGACAUUGAAUGCAACAAAUAAAAUCUGUGGUGUGAGUUAGGCAUUGGUGGUGUUGGGUGGUAUCUGUUUCUUGUGAACCUCUCUAUUUAAUUCGGUCACUCUGCUUCUACUCAAUUAGGCACAAGAAUUAAAAAUACAGUAAAAAGCAAACAAAAAA
Oxyura jamaicensis (ruddy duck) is the source of this 1476-nucleotide long non-coding RNA. RefSeq lists it as uncharacterized. The transcript is spliced from 2 exons. The record is from RefSeq and is a predicted model, not a curated record. Lineage: Eukaryota; Metazoa; Chordata; Aves; Anseriformes; Anatidae.